GGGAGUUGCUGUGUGAGUCCCUUUUGGCAUUGGGGGGAGGGGGUUUCAGGUGUGGGCACCGUCUUGGAUAAUCUUAAUACUGGGUUUUCCCCGUGGUGAAUAACACGAGCUUGGUUUGCAACUCCCUGUUGCUUUACAAUUUUUGGUGGUUCUAUAUUCUGCUUCAUCCAAGUUUGAUAGCAGCUAGAGAUGUGUUAACACUACAAAUCCCAAGGAAUGAGAAUUUGAAACGUUGUACUCUGAACACAUCUGGUGGCUAUGAAGUCAGAGGAGGUGAUCACAUACUGUAUGUAGUGACAAACUGGAUCAUAUACUGUAUGUAGUGAUAAAGCAUCCUUUCUGAAAUCAUCUAGUCUUCAUUCUGGUCCUACACACCAGAACAACUAGACACAAGAACAGUUUUUUCCCGAAGGCCAUCACUCUGCUAAACAAUUAAUUCCCUCAACACUGUCAAACUAUUUACUAAAUCUGCACUACUAUUAAUCUUCUCAUCGUUCCCAUCACCAAUCUCUUUCCACUUAUGACUGUAUGACUGUAACUUUGUUGCUGGCAAUCCUUAUGAUUUAUAUUGAUAUAUUGACCACCAAUUGUAUUGUAAAUGUUGUACCUUGAUGCAUGUAUCUUUUCUUUUAUGUACACUGAGAGCAUAUGCACCAAGACAAAUUCCUUGUAUGUCCAAUCACACUUGACCAAUAAAAAAAAAAAUCUAUUCUAUUCUAAUUCUAUUCUAUUCUAUACUUUCUUCCCAAGGUUAGAACUUGGUAGCAGUUCCCAUUUCUACCACUGAAUUUCCCAAGAGAUGCCUUACCUCUGGUGUGUGAGAGAAAUAAGACUUCCAUAGUCUGCUGCCUUUCUGUAAAUAGAUGACAAGAAUGAAAUAAUUAUUCUAGCACCAUGUCCUAAAGAUAGUAUUAAAGAUAUCGGUCUGCCUACCUUUUGUGAGAUUGAAUAAUCUCACAAGAGAUAAAGAAAAGCCAAACUUUACUUAAAAAGAAAAAUCUAUGAAAUCACAUAUCAACUUUAAAAUUAUAAAAUUAUAAAAUACAGUCUUGCAGGAUCUACAAUAUAUUGCUGUCCAGUGUACAAUAGAAUAGCGGUCCCCAAACUUUGUGACUGGGCAGCCUGGCUUGUGGUGGGGGAGAGGGGAACUGGACCACAAGAGUGGUGGGCUGGUGCGCACACGCAUGUACAUGUAGCUCGACUAGUUGAAAUGUGCUGCAUGUGCAUCCUGCCAGGCUGCCACUCAUGUGAGUCAAGCUGCAUGGAUGAGUGCCUGCCACUGGCACA
Molecule: long non-coding RNA, 1287 nt
Organism: Ahaetulla prasina
Lineage: Eukaryota; Metazoa; Chordata; Lepidosauria; Squamata; Colubridae
Exons: 3
Source: RefSeq, a predicted model, not a curated record